GUAUAUAGUUUUUGGUGAUUUGAAGGAUUGUUGAUUAUCUAUUGAUAAUUUUGAAUUAAAUAAAUUCUACUAUACUUUAAAUAGCAGUUGUUGUGAUUAUUUUGUGCAUUUGUUGUGAUAAUUGCUGGUUGAACAUGGUCAGUGCUCAAAUUCACCCUUCGCCUGUUCCUUUCAGAGAUACAAAAUAAAUUAAUCAAAUAAAUUAAGAUCUGUAUUUUAAAGGGAACGCCACCUAAUGAGACUGUUUCACAAUUUAAUAUUGGUCCCUGAUUCCAGGGUGCUGCCCCGUUUUGACAGUUUGUCAAUUUUCUAAAGUUAUUAAUACCCAUAUUCAUAACUUUAUUAAUAUUGAUAAAACAUUUGAUUUGACUUUGAUAAUUUGCCAAUAAUUGAAUCCGUACCCCUAAUGAUAUCCAACAU
Molecule: long non-coding RNA, 420 nt
Organism: Etheostoma cragini (Arkansas darter)
Lineage: Eukaryota; Metazoa; Chordata; Actinopteri; Perciformes; Percidae
Exons: 2
Source: RefSeq, a predicted model, not a curated record